This 760-nucleotide ribosomal RNA is filed under the name uncultured bacterium. RNAcentral's name for it is "bacterial SSU rRNA". It matches the Rfam family "Bacterial small subunit ribosomal RNA", at positions 28 to 776 of the family's 1533-position model. The record is from RNAcentral.
GAUGAACGCUAGCUACAGGCUUAACACAUGCAAGUCGAGGGGCAGCAUUUCAGUUUGCUUGCAAACUGGAGAUGGCGACCGGCGCACGGGUGAGUAACACGUAUCCAACCUGCCGAUAACUCGGGGAUAGCCUUUCGAAAGAAAGAUUAAUACCCGAUGGUAUAAUCAGACCGCAUGGUCUUGUUAUUAAAGAAUUUCGGUUAUCGAUGGGGAUGCGUUCCAUUAGGCAGUUGGUGAGGUAACGGCUCACCAAACCUUCGAUGGAUAGGGGUUCUGAGAGGAAGGUCCCCCACAUUGGAACUGAGACACGGUCCAAACUCCUACGGGAGGCAGCAGUGAGGAAUAUUGGUCAAUGGGCGCAGGCCUGAACCAGCCAAGUAGCGUGAAGGAUGACUGCCCUAUGGGUUGCAAACUUCUUUUAUAUGGGAAUAAAGUUUUCCACGUGUGGAAUUUUGUAUGUACCAUAUGAAUAAGGAUCGGCUAACUCCGUGCCAGCAGCCGCGGUAAUACGGAGGAUCCGAGCGUUAUCCGGAUUUAUUGGGUUUAAAGGGAGCGUAGGUGGACAGUUAAGUCAGUUGUGAAAGUUUGCGGCUCAACCGUAAAAUUGCAGUUGAUACUGGCUGUCUUGAGUACAGUAGAGGUGGGCGGAAUUCGUGGUGUAGCGGUGAAAUGCUUAGAUAUCACGAAGAACUCCGAUUGCGAAGGCAGCUCACUGGACUGCAACUGACACUGAUGCUCGAAAGUGUAGGUAUCAAACAGG